This 449-nucleotide ribosomal RNA is filed under the name uncultured bacterium. RNAcentral's name for it is "SSU rRNA". It matches the Rfam family "Bacterial small subunit ribosomal RNA", at positions 26 to 518 of the family's 1533-position model. The record is from RNAcentral.
AGGAUGAACGCUGGCGGUCUGCUUAACACAUGCAAGUCGAACGGAGUAGCAAUACUUAGUGGCGGACGGGUGAGUAACGCGUGAGAAUCUACCUUCAGGACGGAGACAACAGUUGGAAACGACUGCUAACCCCCGAUGUACCGAAAGGGCAAAUAUUUAUAGCCUGAAGAAGAGCUCGCGUCCGAUUAGCUAGUUGGAGAGGUAAAAGCUCACCAAGGCGACGAUCGGUAGCUGGUCUGAGAGGACGAUCAGCCACACUGGGACUGAGACACGGCCCAGACUCCUACGGGAGGCAGCAGUGGGAAUUUUCCGCAAUGGGCGAAAGCCUGACGGAGCAAGACCGCGUGAGGGAGGAAGGCUCUUGGGUUGUAAACCUUCUUUUCGUUGGGGAAGAACAAAAUGACGGUACCCAAGGAAUCAGCAUCGGCUAACUCCGCGCCAGCAGCCGC